ACUGGUUGGCUGAGUCCUAUUCAGGCCAGAACGGUCUCAAAAAUAAGGCCACCUGUGGCUUCUCAGUCUGAGCCGCCACCGGAAAGGCCCACUGAGGUGAGAAAGAAGCUGGCAAGGCCAAUCACCAGAAGGUAUUCAGGCAGGGCAACCAUCACAGUUAGACGGACGGCUUGGGUCGUGGGCAGGCGGGAAGCCCUUGACCCAGUCCUCAAGGUCAAUGUCUUUGCAUGUCCUGUGCACGACUCCAAGCAGCAGUUUCUGGGGUCUGGGAAGUGUGUUGAUUUUGCGAUAUUUCCCCCCAAAAA
Long non-coding RNA from Myotis brandtii (Brandt's bat), 305 nucleotides. RefSeq lists it as uncharacterized. NCBI's taxonomy places the organism in Eukaryota, Metazoa, Chordata, Mammalia, Chiroptera, Vespertilionidae. The transcript has 2 exons. The record is from RefSeq and is a predicted model, not a curated record.